This 440-nucleotide ribosomal RNA is filed under the name uncultured bacterium. RNAcentral's name for it is "partial 16S ribosomal RNA". It matches the Rfam family "Bacterial small subunit ribosomal RNA", at positions 338 to 795 of the family's 1533-position model. The record is from RNAcentral.
CCUACGGGUGGCUGCAGUAGGGAAUAUUGCUCAAUGGGGGAAACCCUGAAGCAGCAACGCCGCGUGGAGGAUGAAGGUUUUCGGAGGGGAAACUCCUUUUGUUAGAGAAGAGAAUGACGGUAUCUAACGAAUAAGCACCGGCUAACUCCGUGCCAGCAGCCGCGGUAAUACGGAGGGGGCAAGCGUUACUCGGAAUCACGGGGCGUAAAGGGCGCGUAGGCGGGAUAGCAAGUCAGAUGUUAAAUCCUAUGGCUUAACCAUAGAACUGCAUUUGAAACUUUUAUUCUAGAGUAUGGGAGAGGUAGGUGGAAUUCUUGGUGGAGGGGUGAAAUCCGUAGAGAUCAAGAGGAAUACUCAUUGCGAAGGCGACCUGCUAGAACAAAACUGACGCUGAUGCGCGAAAGCGUGUGGAGCAAACAGGAUUAGAUACCCCAGUAGUC